Molecule: non-coding RNA, 21 nt
Filed under: Arabidopsis thaliana (thale cress)
Lineage: Eukaryota; Viridiplantae; Streptophyta; Magnoliopsida; Brassicales; Brassicaceae
Source: RNAcentral
CCGCACGUCGCGUGGUGUCCG